RNAcentral lists this ribosomal RNA (253 nucleotides) under uncultured bacterium. Its description in RNAcentral is "partial 16S ribosomal RNA". It matches the Rfam family "Bacterial small subunit ribosomal RNA", at positions 524 to 776 of the family's 1533-position model. The record is from RNAcentral.
UACGGAGGGAGCUAGCGUUGUUCGGAAUUACUGGGCGUAAAGCGCACGUAGGCGGCUUUGUAAGUUAGAGGUGAAAGCCCGGGGCUCAACUCCGGAACUGCCUUUAAGACUGCAUCGCUUGAAUCCAGGAGAGGUGAGUGGAAUUCCGAGUGUAGAGGUGAAAUUCGUAGAUAUUGGGAAGAACACCAGUGGCGAAGGCGGCUAACUGGUCCAGAUCUGACGCUGAGGUGCGAAAGCGUGGGGAGCAAACAGG